RNAcentral lists this long non-coding RNA (3449 nucleotides) under Sus scrofa (pig). RNAcentral describes it as "lncRNA (ENSSSCG00005014631.1)". Lineage: Eukaryota; Metazoa; Chordata; Mammalia; Artiodactyla; Suidae. The record is from RNAcentral.
UUUUUUUUUUUUUUUUUUUGUCUUUUUAGGGCCGCACCCUCAGCAUACGGAGGUUCCCAGACUAGGGGUCCAAUCGGAGCUGUAGCCGCCAGCGGACACCACAGCCACGGCCAGAUCUGAGCUGCAUCUGCGACCUACACCAUAGCUCACGGCAACGCUGGGUCCUUAACCCACGAGUGAGGCCAGGGAUCGAACCUGCAACCUCAUGGUUCCUAGUUGGAUUCGUUUCUGCUGUGCCAUCUUUACUUGAAAGAGAAACUGACAGAUAAACUCUGAUUUUUCCGAUUUGAGUAUUUGACAGACAUUUUCUCAAAUGUGAACAAAGUAAGACUUUGAAGGGGGGAAAAAAACCCGACAAUAUUUAUCACCCAUGGUAACAUCUGAGCUUUCCGGUGAGAAUUCGACUUUUGGAAGAAUGUUUGUCACUGUUAACUUUGACAGUGUCCUAAAACUUAACAACGUUUCUGGUGAGACUGGUAACGAUACCAGUAAACGUAAUUUGUUUUUGUUUUUUUUUUAAAGAUCGUGUCGUGAAAUGUGUCAACAUUUGGCAGAGCUGCAUGCCUCAGUGAACCAGCAUUUUCUAAAUGACCCCUGCGUGAGGUUACAAAAUCACGCAUCGGGGGAAUGAGUCACGCAAAGUGCAAGACAGACCAGUGGGUUUUCACGUAAGGGUACCCCAAGUGCACUGAUGUGGUUUCAGACGCUACGCUGGCGCUGACCUUUGAGAAACAACCGCGUGGCGAGUUCUGGCCUCGUAUCAAAGCCGACGAUUCACAAUUAUCUUUGAAGCUAUUAAAACAGUCCUCUCUUAUCCAACUACACAUCUGUGGGAAGCUGGACUCUCUUUCCUUUUUCUCUUAUGGCCAAACCCAUGGCAAAUGGAAGUUCCCAGGCCAGGAAUCAAACGCAAGCCAGAGCUAUGACCUAUGCUGGGGCUGCAGCAAUGCCAGAUCCUUCGACCUACUGAGCUGGGCUGGGGAUCGAAUCGGCACCUUCACAGAGAGAAGGCGGAUCAUUAGGCCACUGGGCCACGGAGGAAACACCUGGAUUUUCUUCAACGUAAACAAUAGAUCAGCAAGGACUGAAUGCAGAAGCACAUCUGAAGGUCCAGCUGCCUUUGGUUAAACCAGACAUUAAAGACACCUGCAAAAAUAUAAAGCAGGAGUUCCCGUCGUGACUCAGUGGUUAAUGAAUCCGACUAGGAACCAUGAGGUUGUGGGUUCGAUCCCUGGCCUUGCUCAGUGGAUUAAGGAUCCAGUGUUGUCGCGAGCUGUGGUGUAGUUGGGUUCGUUUCCACUGAGCCACAGCAGGCACUCCCUAAAAAUAUGUUUUUUUUUUUUAAAUAAUGAUUUCUAUUUUUUCCAUUAUAGCUGGUAUACAGUAUUCUGUCUAAAAGUAUGUUCUUAAUGUUAACAUGUAAUAUGGAUUUAUCAUGGUUAUCUUUAAAUGAUUUCAUAAAUACAUUGAGAAAUUUCUAAUAUGGAAAAUACCAGUUGCUAGAAAACCCACACAAGCCGAAGCUCUUGGGACCCUCAAUGCUUUCGAGGGUAAGGAGGCGCUGGACCCAUAGUUUGAGAGCCACUGGCCUGGGGCAGCGGGAGCAGAGAGAAAAGAGGGCAGAGAUUAUGCCCCGUCGGGCUCCGGGGAUUGGGGCUGGGCAGGGCUAUGUCUCUGCCCUUGCAGGUGGCCGUGGCCUUGGCCUUGGCCUGGGUGAGGGCUGCUUGAACCACACUGCCAGGGCGUUUGAGGAGAAUUACACAUCUUCUGGCAAGAGAUACACGUGGGGCAGGAUGGUGACCACGAAGGCAAAGGCUGAGGCGGACUGAGACGGUGCCGCCAAGUACUGAAAGAACCACCCAGAAGCCCUGGGCGAGCCGAGGGAGAGCGAGAGGAAGCGGCCACUUCUGCCCUUGGCUUGAGCAGGGUCCAGCCCCAUGGGGUGACAGCCCAGGAAGUAAUGGGGCCUGAGUCCCGCUAUCCCAUCAGAAGCUGAAGAGGAGCUGGUGUGGGGGGGUGCCCAAGAAUUUAGAGCUGAACAGGGAUUCUUGUCACCAGUGUGCAAUUCACAGGACGCUCUGGGCCCCUUCCCAGGGAUGUGUUAAUUACCUCCCCCCACUGGUCCCCGCGGGCAACCAGGCUGGAAACGAGCAAAGGCCAGCUCCAGCUCACGCUGCUCCGUUCUGCCUGCGAAAACCCCUGUCCUCAGCCCCACGCUUGGCUCUAGGGCAGAGAUGUGGAAUUUUCCAGGAAAACUUCAAAAUCAGCACUGAGAGGGGAAGACAUUUGAAAAGUGAUGCUGAAGAGGAGAAAGAAAAGAAAAGGCAGGCUGGGCUUGGCCAGGGCUGCCCGGGACCCGAGGGCUGAGGAGGUGAAAACCGAGGCUGUGUGUUUUCAUCUCACACGGAGUCCCCAGAACAGCACUCAAACGUGACCCAGGCCCCAGGGCAUCCCGUCCUCCUGGGAUUUGAAGCUCGGGGACCCAGAGGUCCUGCGGCUUCUGCUGUGAGCCACAUCUAAGAGGGCCUCUCUGGAUGUCCAGCCAGCCAAAUGUCUGUGUCACAUCCCUAAUAUCCCACACCCGGAGUGGAGAAUCAGGGCGCAGUGCCCUGCCUGCACGCUUGGCACAGGUACCACGUUACAUGUUAGGGGGCCAUCAGGGAUGAUGGCAGAAAGCCCUCCGCCCUCGCAAGUCUCUGUUCUCAGAGACGUAACCGGGCAACUACAACUCGGUGGGACCGGCACUCAGACGGUGAGGCUGUGGGGACACAGACAGAGAACCCUAACUCAGGCUCAGGCAAUCUGGGAAGACUUUUGGGAGGAGGUGGCAUCGAGAGGACCCAGUCAAGGAGACAGUACAAUGUAGGCAGUAGGAGCUUGGCUCCAAGGCAGACUUGGGUUUGAAUCCUACCUCCUAGUUCUGUGAUCCUGAGCCUUGCCGUCCCCCGCCCAAACCCCCACCAAAAUCAGAGAUGUUAUUAGUUACCUGCCUCAUAGGACUGCUGAGGGGUUAAGCAUAAUUAUGCAGGUAAAAAAUCAUGAUGCGGGGCUUGGCACAUCCUAACCACUCAAUAAAUGAUACCUGUUGUAUUUAUAACCGUGCAAAGCUCUAUUCUCACCCCUGACAGGUCCACCCAGGUCAGACCCCCAGACUAUUCCACACCAGGUGGAGCUGCCAGCCCAGAGCAGGAGCAUGGAUGGAACCCUGGCCCUGUCAGCCUCAGCCCGGGCCCUCUCCUCAUACGGGGCACACGUGGGGGGAGGGGGGAGGGGCAGCCCCAGAGCCUAGACAGGGUGAUGACGGGCAGAGGGGGCACUGCCCACCUCUCCUGAGCCUGCGGAGUGCUGAGCACGACGCAGAGCUGAUCUUGAGGAGUAUUUUCCAGCACAGAAACUCCAAGUCACCUGCCUGGAAUGAAGCAGGGGAAAAAAAAAAAAAAAAAAAAAAA